Non-coding RNA from Hypoxylon sp. FL1150, 91 nucleotides. NCBI's taxonomy places the organism in Eukaryota, Fungi, Ascomycota, Sordariomycetes, Xylariales, Hypoxylaceae. The record is from the annotation of a GenBank genome assembly.
GGCCCUUUGGCCCAAUGGUAAGGCGUCUGACUACGAUCGAGAUACUCGACAAGUUAUCAGGAGAUUCUGGGUUCGAGCCCCAGGAGGGUCA